RNAcentral lists this long non-coding RNA (378 nucleotides) under Mytilus galloprovincialis (Mediterranean mussel). The record is from RNAcentral. Lineage: Eukaryota; Metazoa; Mollusca; Bivalvia; Mytilida; Mytilidae.
AGGGUUCAUGACUAGAUUUGAAUCUGAUUUACAUAUUGUGAACGUUCUCGAAAACGAUAGCCAAGUUGGUUGGAUUGUAAAAAAGAACAAAAUUAAUUAUGCAUGCAGACUUUAUUCUAAAUUUUAUUUGUGACACCACUUAACUAUAAUAACUUUUAACUAUAACUCAGUUAAAUAAAGGAAAACGUUAUAAUACAAUAUAUGUCCGUACUGCAACCGAACCCUAAGGCUUGUCUGCGAACUUUAUAAUAAUUUAGUAUGAAUAAAAAGAAAUAUGAGUGCAUGUCAAUGAUACAAUAAUCCAACAAGAUAUUAAAACAUCUAUUUUUCUAUUUCCAAUAUGUUUAUGAAAUUCAAAUAAACGAACAAUUUAGACUC